AAAAGCUGUCAUAUCCUAGAAACACUUAUGUAUAUGCCUCAUUCAUGAAAGCACUGCGCAUAACAAUUAAUUAAUCAGUCGUCUUCGUUAAACUAACUGACACACUCGAAAUCAGUUUGUAAGGUAGCUUGUCGUGAUCUCGGCCUAAAAGUAGGCACUUAAUUAGGUCGUGCUUAAGGUCGGGAAAAAUGUUAACUAGGCUGUCAGGAAGAGCAUUUCUCCAACUGCAAUUUUUGGAGUUCAGACUCGGGGUCCCGACCCGAAGCGGUAGCCACUGGGCAUUAAUUGCGUUUAUACCAGCGAACGAGAAAGUGCGUCUGUGCUGUCCGAGAAUUAAAGUGAUCUCUCAAAAAAAUACAGAAAAAAAUGAGAAAUUCAACAAGUCAAUAAUUCAACCAAUUCAACCAAACCCCAGUGAAUCGGAAAAUUUAUAUUUCGAUUAACUUUAGUGCCAGCCCCUAGAGGGUGGCACCUAGGAAAAUAUUUAAUUUUCAAGAGAAUAACCAAUGCCAGUGCGACCAGUGAAGGAAACAUAAAUUUGCCGACCAGGAGGUCUAAUUCUGGAUUGCAUCAGACAGCAGCCACCGUUAAGCGCAGGAAAAUGAUUUAAUUGAAUUCAAUAACAUUAUCUACAUAUAUACCCAUUUUUACCUUACACCGCUUCACACCUGACCGACUGCUUGUUAAGCAGAUCGGCAAACAGUCAAGCAGAUCAGCAUAAGAUAUUCCGAUAGGAAAAAAAUAAAUUCACCUUAUGUUAGGAAAUUAAUUUAAGUUAUGUUGUAAGAGAAUAGAAUUCAUUUAGGGCAA
Long non-coding RNA from Drosophila yakuba, 810 nucleotides. RefSeq lists it as uncharacterized. The record is from RefSeq and is a predicted model, not a curated record. Lineage: Eukaryota; Metazoa; Arthropoda; Insecta; Diptera; Drosophilidae. The transcript has 2 exons.